RNAcentral lists this ribosomal RNA (297 nucleotides) under Triticum aestivum (bread wheat). RNAcentral describes it as "partial small subunit ribosomal RNA". The record is from RNAcentral. Lineage: Eukaryota; Viridiplantae; Streptophyta; Magnoliopsida; Poales; Poaceae.
GGUCAUCUGACCAAAGGACAAUAUGGCCGUGUGAGUGCUUUGGAAACAUCUAAGCUAGUCUGGGACUGGCUCUCCAAGGUCAACGAAGGCGUCUCAACCCAGAGAGAUCAGAGAAUCAGUGUCCUUCGCAACCUCUUCAACCGCUUCAAGAGAAAUGACAAUGAGAAUGUUCAGCUCACGUUUGAUCGACUCACUGACAUCACAAAUGAGCUUCAAGCCCUCGGCGCCACUGAGAUCACCAAGCAUGAAGUUGUCAAGACACUCCUGAGAUCACUUGACAGCUCGUUUGACACCUUA